GAUGAACGCUGGCGGCGUGCCUAAUACAUGCGAGUCGAGCGAACGGACGAGAAGCUUGCUUCUCUGAUGUUAGCGGCGGACGGGUGAGUAACACGUGGAUAACCUACCUAUAAGACUGGGAUAACUUCGGGAAACCGUAGCUAAUACCGGAUAAUAUAUUGAACCGCAUGGUUCAAAAGUGAAAGACGGUCUUGCUGUCACUUAUAGAUGGAUCCGCGCUGCAUUAGCUAGUUGGUAAGGUAACGGCUUACCAAGGCAACGAUGCGUAGCCGACCUGAGAGGGUGAUCGGCCACACUGGAACUGAGACACGGUCCAGACUCCUACGGGAGGCAGCAGUAGGGAAUCUUCCGCAAUGGGCGAAAGCCUGACGGAGCAACGCCGCGUGAGUGAUGAAGGUCUUCGGAUCGUAAAACUCUGUUAUUAGGGAAGAACAUAUGUGUAAGUAACUGUGCACGUCUUGACGGUACCUAAUCAGAAAGCCACGGCUAACUACGUG
RNAcentral lists this ribosomal RNA (497 nucleotides) under uncultured bacterium. RNAcentral's name for it is "partial 16S ribosomal RNA". It matches the Rfam family "Bacterial small subunit ribosomal RNA", at positions 28 to 507 of the family's 1533-position model. The record is from RNAcentral.